AUGGUCGAUCCCAAUGAGUUGACCUUUUUGAGGAUUCUGCAUAUCACAGUAGCGAUUAGAAAAAUAAAGCUCAAAUCCUAAAUCACAAAGUUAUCCAAUGGAGAGUAGAUUUAAGUAUAAAGAAUGAACUAUAUAGGCAUCUGAUAUGGUGAGAGAAGGUAUUGAAAUGUUACCAAUAUGACUCAUAUGCAUGCAUGAGCCAUUGAUAGUGGGAACAAUGGGUGG
RNAcentral lists this long non-coding RNA (225 nucleotides) under Elaeis guineensis (African oil palm). RNAcentral's name for it is "long non-coding RNA (EGUI_LNC024483)". Lineage: Eukaryota; Viridiplantae; Streptophyta; Magnoliopsida; Arecales; Arecaceae. The record is from RNAcentral.